Procambarus clarkii (red swamp crayfish) is the source of this 1012-nucleotide long non-coding RNA. RefSeq lists it as uncharacterized. NCBI's taxonomy places the organism in Eukaryota, Metazoa, Arthropoda, Malacostraca, Decapoda, Cambaridae. The record is from RefSeq and is a predicted model, not a curated record.
CUCUGUAACUCUUUCCACUACCUCCACUACCGGUGCAUAAUAAAUGAACUAAACUAAACUGAAAUAGAAUUUGAAGUCAACAACUUCAAACAUUUAAGCUGGGGAUGAUUAUUGGUUCAUUAGAGACUCGUUCGUAUUUGGGGAAGUGAAGGAGUGGCUGUUGGCCAGUGAUAAUUGGCACUUCAGACGCGCAAAAUGUUAACCAAUGGGGUGAGUUUUAGGGUGAAUGUCAACCAAUCAGCGGCCGAGUUUGGUUGGCUGCUGGUUAUAAAAGAGACGACGAGACAAAACUCACUUCAGUGUGGUUUUACCUCACUUUUGGUAUACAGUUCCAGCUUCGUCUCUUGAAGAAUCCAGAAUGCUUCUGCUUAAUACUGGUGUGGGAGUGUAGUCUCAGGACAAUAAUGCCCCAGACGGGUCCCUGGUGGUGGUCGUGGUCGUCGUCUCCUGAGUAAAACCAGUUGUCUGCACCAGUAUUCGUCUCACCUCUCCCUUCCCAGAAGUCUUUCAGGGAAAGUCUCUCCAGUUCUCUCAAGACACUAAACGGUUUCAAACUAGUUCUAUAUUACGUCCAACAGUUCUCUUCAAGCGGCACUCUUGUCCUUCCAACACCUUCCACCACUUGAAGUGCCCCAGCUUCCAUUCUCCCCUCACCCCCAGCUUGUCUCCCGGCCUUAAAGGCGACAGGGAACUCAACACUCCAUCCUGUGAAAUACCUGUGAUCCAGUUCAUGUGGAGAAGCGACUAUGAGGGCGGGGCGAGGGCCUGGUGGUGGUCAUCCGGGUACACUGUCUGCACCAACUGGUCUCACUGGAGGGCUCGGGUGACAACAGGGGAGGCCAAGAGGACCGUCUCGGGCUACUGAAGAACAUGUAUAACGAAGGCAUAAAGUGGCAGGACAUUGCCAGCAUGUCGGUCUGUGGGACCAGCCUUUGUUAUAUAUUUUUGCCAGAAAAUGGCCUAGUUUGCUGAAAGGUUAUAUUGUAAAAUAUUAAAAUUAAUUAUAGCACAA